UACGAAGGGGGCUAGCGUUGUUCGGAAUUACUGGGCGUAAAGGGCGCGUAGGCGGCCAUUCAAGUUAGGUGUGAAAGCCCUGGCUCAACCUAGGAAUUGCACUUGAUACUGUUUGGCUUGAGUUCGGGAGAGGUGAGUGGAAUUCCCAGUGUAGAGGUAGAAAUUCGUAGAUAUUGGGAAGAACACCAGUGGCGAAGGCGGCUCACUGGACCGACACUGACGCUGAGGCGCGAAAGCGUGGGGAGCAACAGG
RNAcentral lists this ribosomal RNA (252 nucleotides) under uncultured bacterium. Its description in RNAcentral is "partial 16S ribosomal RNA". It matches the Rfam family "Bacterial small subunit ribosomal RNA", at positions 524 to 775 of the family's 1533-position model. The record is from RNAcentral.